This 468-nucleotide ribosomal RNA is filed under the name uncultured bacterium. Its description in RNAcentral is "partial 16S ribosomal RNA". It matches the Rfam family "Bacterial small subunit ribosomal RNA", at positions 28 to 507 of the family's 1533-position model. The record is from RNAcentral.
GACGAACGCUGGCGGCGUGCUUAACACAUGCAAGUCGAACGGAAAGGCCCUGCUUUUGUGGGGUGCUCGAGUGGCGAACGGGUGAGUAACACGUGAGUAACCUGCCCUUGACUUUGGGAUAACUUCAGGAAACUGGGGCUAAUACCGGAUAGGAGCUCCUGCUGCAUGGUGGGGGUUGGAAAGUUUCGGCGGUUGGGGAUGGACUCGCGGCUUAUCAGCUUGUUGGUGGGGUAGUGGCUUACCAAGGCUUUGACGGGUAGCCGGCCUGAGAGGGUGACCGGGCACAUUGGGACUGAGAUACGGCCCAGACUGCUACGGGAGGCAGCAGUGGGGAAUAUUGCACAAUGGGAGGAAGCCUGAUGCAGAAACGCCGCGUGCGGGAUGACGGCCUUCGGGUUGUAAACCGCUUUCGCCUGUGACGAAGCGUGAGUGACGGUAAUGGGUAAAGAAGCACCGGCUAACUACGUG